GUUGUUCGGAAUUACUGGGCGUAAAGCGUAUGUAGGCUGUUUUGUAAGACAGGUGUGAAAUCCCCGGGCUUAACCUGGGAAUUGCAUUUGUGACUGCACGACUAGAGUGUGUCAGAGGGGGGUGGAAUUCCACGUGUAGCAGUGAAAUGCGUAGAUAUGUGGAGGAACACCAAUGGCGAAGGCAGCCCCCUGGGAUAACACUGACGCUCAUGCACGAAAGCGUGGGGAGC
Molecule: ribosomal RNA, 230 nt
Filed under: uncultured bacterium
Lineage: Bacteria
Description: partial 16S ribosomal RNA
Rfam family: Bacterial small subunit ribosomal RNA
Source: RNAcentral